GCUAGUGAAGCUUCCUUGUCAAACAAAUAUAAUAACCAUCCUGGAGUCGUAUGUGAAACAUUUUGCUAUUAACGCUGCUUUUUCAGCCAAUGAAAGGUCUCGGCACCACCAGAUGACUCCACAUGCUAACAUGAAUCUUCAUUAUGUGCCACCAGAGAAGAAUGUUGAGCUGUGUAAAGAGAUGGUGGAUGGGCUGAGAAUAACGUUUGACUUCACACUUCCAUUAAUUUUGCUCUACCCUUAUGAACAAGCUCAGUUUAAGAAGGUGACUUCUUCAAAGUUUUUUCUUCCCAUCAAAGAAAACUCAGCGAAUACUAACAGGAACCAGGAGGAGCUGUCGCCCAGCCCCCCGCUGCU
This is a long non-coding RNA of Merops nubicus (carmine bee-eater), 357 nucleotides long. RefSeq lists it as uncharacterized. The record is from RefSeq and is a predicted model, not a curated record. The transcript is spliced from 3 exons. Lineage: Eukaryota; Metazoa; Chordata; Aves; Coraciiformes; Meropidae.